UACGGAGGGUGCAAGCGUUAUCCGGAUUUAUUGGGUUUAAAGGGUCCGUAGGCGGACUUAUAAGUCAGUGGUGAAAGCCUGUCGCUUAACGAUAGAACUGCCAUUGAUACUGUAAGUCUUGAGUAUAUUUGAGGUAGCUGGAAUAAGUAGUGUAGCGGUGAAAUGCAUAAAUAUUACUUAGAACACCAAUUGCGAAGGCAGGUUACCAAGAUAUAACUGACGCUGAGGGACGAAAGCGUGGGGAGCGAACAGGAUUAGAUACCCCCGUAGUCC
This 273-nucleotide ribosomal RNA is filed under the name uncultured bacterium. Its description in RNAcentral is "partial 16S ribosomal RNA". It matches the Rfam family "Bacterial small subunit ribosomal RNA", at positions 524 to 796 of the family's 1533-position model. The record is from RNAcentral.